Molecule: ribosomal RNA, 468 nt
Filed under: uncultured bacterium
Lineage: Bacteria
Description: partial 16S ribosomal RNA
Rfam family: Bacterial small subunit ribosomal RNA
Source: RNAcentral
GAUGAACGCUGGCGGCGUGCUUAACACAUGCAAGUCGAACGGAAAGGCCGAAGCUUGCUUCGGUACUCGAGUGGCGAACGGGUGAGUAACACGUGGGUGAUCUGCCCUGUACUUCGGGAUAAGCUUGGGAAACUGGGUCUAAUACCGGAUAUGACGAUCUCUUGGAUGGGGUUGUGGAAAGCUUUUGCGGUAUGGGAUGAGCUCGCGGCCUAUCAGCUUGUUGGUGGGGUAAUGGCCUACCAAGGCGUCGACGGGUAGCCGGCCUGAGAGGGUGUACGGCCACAUUGGGACUGAGAAACGGCACAGACUCCUACGGGAGGCAGCAGUGGGGAAUAUUGCACAAUGGGCGCAAGCCUGAUGCAGCGACGCCGCGUGGGGGAUGACGGCCUUCGGGUUGUAAACUCCUUUCGCAAUCGACGAAGCAUUUUGGUGACGGUAGGUUGAGAAGAAGCACCGGCUAACUACGUG